UCAGGAGUCUUCCCACGCGGCGCCCUUCCCAGUCUCUCGGCUUCUUGGUGGUAGCUGUCUCUUCGGCCUUUUUACUUAAUUGCCAGGCUUCUAGGUAAAGACGAUGCAUUGAGUACACAUUUCUUUUUUUUUUUACACAUUUAUUUCUAAACACUCUUGAAACUCUACUGAAAUUAUAAUAAUGGGAUUAAAAAGGAGGCAAUAACCACAGGGAAAAGAAGAAACAGCAACAAGAUUUUGGAAGCUCGAAUGUAGAAGGAAGAGGUGCUAAAGGAACACUCGAGGAAUGAGAGAGUGAUCUAUCCUUCUCCACAGACUCCUCCUCUUUUUUGUCAUCAAACUUGGCCCAACUGUAAUCUGUCUUAGGACCCAUCAUCUGUUAUCUGGUCUACACUGCAAGCUCCAGGGUAGGGACCCUGACCUCAUCAUUCACCAGCUCAAGGGCUUUGCACUCAGUUUUCUUUUUGUUCACAAGACUCGUCCUUCUUCCUGUCACUGUCCUUUUCCCAGCCCAGGUGUCACUGCUGAAAGUACCUCCCCUGACCUUUCUAUCUAAAGUCAUUCCAGCCUCCCUCUCUCAGUCGCAUCAUCCUGAAUUAAGUUGUUUAUUUUCUGUCUCUUCAGGAGGGCAGAGAGCUUGUGAGUGGUGUUCAGGGCUGUAUUCAGAGAAUAAAUCCUGCCCUCACUUCACUCUGCUAUACCUUUUAGCUACCAUCUAAUUUUACAUGUUCCUUUUGCCCUUGCCAGGAAUCUCCUUAUUUUCUACUCCAAUCAAGUGUACAGAGGUGCUUCUCCUGGGAGGUUCACCACAUCAUGAGAAUAUGUCUGGUUCUGUGCAGAAAGUGUAUGAAAUCCUUUGGCUCAGUUUCAAGCAUCACA
Non-coding RNA from Kogia breviceps (pygmy sperm whale), 879 nucleotides. Lineage: Eukaryota; Metazoa; Chordata; Mammalia; Artiodactyla; Physeteridae. The record is from RefSeq and is a predicted model, not a curated record.